AGGUGCAAGGAAAAAAACACAGACCCGGUUGGUAGUCCGGGCGCAGCGAAAGCUGUCAGUAACCUGCCUCCUUGGUUGUCCGUUCUUUGCGAAACAACA
RNAcentral lists this non-coding RNA (99 nucleotides) under Anaerocolumna jejuensis. Its description in RNAcentral is "Azaaromatic sequence". It matches the Rfam family "azaaromatic riboswitch aptamer (yjdF RNA)". Lineage: Bacteria; Bacillati; Bacillota; Clostridia; Lachnospirales; Lachnospiraceae. The record is from RNAcentral. RNAcentral also lists the same sequence under 1 other name.